RNAcentral lists this ribosomal RNA (253 nucleotides) under uncultured prokaryote. RNAcentral describes it as "partial 16S ribosomal RNA". It matches the Rfam family "Bacterial small subunit ribosomal RNA", at positions 524 to 776 of the family's 1533-position model. The record is from RNAcentral.
GACAGAGGGGGCAAGCGUUGCUCGGAAUUACUGGGCGUAAAGGGCGCGUAGGCGGGAUGGCAAGUCGGUCGUGAAAUCCUUCGGCUCAACCGAAGAACGUCGAUCGAUACUGCUGUUCUUGAGGGUUGCAGAGGAGACUGGAAUUCCCAGUGUAGCGGUGAAAUGCGUAGAUAUUGGGAGGAACACCGGUGGCGUAGGCGGCCCUCUGGACCGGUACUGACGCUGAUGCGCGAAAGCGUGGGGAGCAAACAGG